This 78-nucleotide transfer RNA is filed under the name Paenibacillus sp. URB8-2. Its description in RNAcentral is "tRNA-Arg". Lineage: Bacteria; Bacillati; Bacillota; Bacilli; Caryophanales; Paenibacillaceae. The record is from RNAcentral.
GCCGCCCUGGCGCGGAAUCUCCCGGUGCUGGAGAUUCGCGCGAUCUCGAACCCGGUCGGUCCCCGCGACCGGGCGGCC